UCAGAUUCCCUGGGGUCAUAGGAGCCAUUGACGGAUCGCAUAUUAAAUUAAAGACUCCAUCCAAAGACAUUGAACAUGUAUAUGUUUGCCGAAAAGGAGGACACUCAAUAAAUGUGCAAGUGGUAUGUGACAUGGAUUUAAGAAUACUCGACUGUAAUGCUCGUUUCGGCAGAACUGCUCACGACGCAUCAGUUUGGAGAGCAAGUGCUUUGAAGGUUUUUCUUGACAAUAUGUACUCCAAUGGAGAACGAAAUUUUUGGCUUUUAGGUGACAGUGGAUAUCCUCAAUUACCUUAUUUAAUGACUCCUAUUCCGGGAAACAAUCUCUCAGAUUCUGAACAUAAUUACAACAGACAUCACCGAAAAGCAAGAAACUGUGUAGAACGCUGCUUUGGAGUACUGAAAUCUAGAUUUCGAUGCCUGUCAAAAGAUAGAGUGCUUAUGUAUGACCCAGUUUUAGCCGGAAAAAUUAUAAAUGCUUGUAUAAUUUUGCACAAUAUCAUGAUAUUAAAUAAUAUAAGGUAUGAAAUUGAGGAUGAUGAUAACAUAAGUUUUGAUGAAGAGUUUAAUUUACUUGAUGAAAUAACUAGUACUCAUCAUGGUAUUGCUGCAAGACAACAAAUUCUAAAUAACUAUUUUAGUUGCUGAGAUUUGUGGUUUGCUCACAUUUACAUGCAUGUACAAUGUAUGUAUUUAUGAUGAGCUUAUUCAGU
Molecule: long non-coding RNA, 712 nt
Organism: Rhagoletis zephyria (snowberry fruit fly)
Lineage: Eukaryota; Metazoa; Arthropoda; Insecta; Diptera; Tephritidae
Source: RefSeq, a predicted model, not a curated record